GGACUACCGGGGUAUCUAAUCCUGUUUGCUCCCCUUGCUCUCGCGCCUCAGCGUCAGGAACUAGCUAGAAAACCGCUUUCGCCACAGGUGUUCCUCCACAUAUCUACGCAUUUCACCGCUACACGUGGAAUUCCAUUUUCUCCGCCAGCCCUCCAGGUUCGCAGUUUCAGAUGCAGCUCCAAGGUUGAGCCUUGGAAUUUCACAUCUGACUUGCAAAUCCGCCUACGCGCCCUUUACGCCCAAUAAUUCCGAUUAAUGCUUGCACCCUCCGUAUUACCGCGGCUGCUGGCAC
Molecule: ribosomal RNA, 292 nt
Filed under: uncultured bacterium
Lineage: Bacteria
Description: partial 16S ribosomal RNA
Source: RNAcentral